Molecule: ribosomal RNA, 500 nt
Filed under: uncultured bacterium
Lineage: Bacteria
Description: partial 16S ribosomal RNA
Rfam family: Bacterial small subunit ribosomal RNA
Source: RNAcentral
AUUGAACGCCGGCGGCAUGCCUUACACAUGCAAGUCGAACGGCAGCACGGGAGCAAUCCUGGUGGCGAGUGGCGAACGGGUGAGUAAAGCAUCGGAACGUGCCCAGUCGUGGGGGAUAACGUAGCGAAAGCUGCGCUAAUACCGCAUACGAUCUGUGGAUGAAAGCGGGGGACCGUAAGGCCUCGCGCGAUUGGAGCGGCCGAUGUCAGAUUAGGUAGUUGGUGAGGUAAAGGCUCACCAAGCCGACGAUCUGUAGCUGGUCUGAGAGGCCGACCAGCCACACUGGGACUGAGACACGGCCCAGACUCCUACGGGAGGCAGCAGUGGGGAAUUUUGGACAAUGGGCGCAAGCCUGAUCCAGCAAUGCCGCGUGCAGGAUGAAGGCCUUCGGGUUGUAAACUGCUUUUGUACGGAGCGAAAAGGCUUCCACUAAUACUGGGGGCUCAUGACGGUACCGUAAGAAUAAGCACCGGCUAACUACGUGCCAGCCGCCGCUGUAA